Molecule: long non-coding RNA, 6522 nt
Organism: Hydractinia symbiolongicarpus
Lineage: Eukaryota; Metazoa; Cnidaria; Hydrozoa; Anthoathecata; Hydractiniidae
Exons: 2
Source: RefSeq, a predicted model, not a curated record
GAGAGGCUUGGCUUUUAUUGCAUUCAGUAUGCAAGUGUCAACAAAGAUGGCUACUAGCGUCAUUGAAGGAUAUACUUUAGAAACUCAAUGUUAUUUUAAAUCUAGAAUGGUAGACUAGUGAAAAGGGUGGUCACAAGGCAUGAACACUAGGGGCCCUCAAGGUAACUAACCAAUACUGUUGUAGAUCCAGGCCCCUAAGAUUGCCUUGCCUACCUAUAAAUUGGGAGCAGCUAAAGUCAACUAGUUUCCAUCAUCACAUUUUGCUAAUAGUUUGGUUUGAUCAUCACAUUUUGCUAACUUGCUUAACUGAAAUAAUUUUAAGCUAGCUCCACGUUUUCAGGAAGCAUCUAUCACUGCAACCUACUAAUAUCAUCAACUCCAUCUUUUGGCUUCAAUUACUAUAAUGGCAGUGCAUCCAAUGACAACCAAUGACUGUAGCAAAUUUUGGAUCAUGUACCUCUGGUAUCAGGAGAAACCUUCAGAUAUUUCUUCAGGACAGAUAUUGCAUGUAGCCAGGUCGGUUUGUUUCAUUUUAUAUAUUAUAUCAUGUUAGGAGCCCAGAAACUGUCACUUUUUAACCACCCUAGAGCCAUUAUGGCUUUUAUACAAGUAAUGCCAACCUUGUAGCCAGGUUGCCAUUAUGAUAACUCGUUAUGUUAUGUAUAGUGUUGUUUAUGGUCAUUCACCGCAAUAGACGAUCAUGAUACGAUCCUGCUCCAACCUGUAUAUAGUAAAUUGUAUCUGCGUGAAAAUUUGGCCUCGUGUUUUCCCUUUUUAAUCUUAUAAUAGACUAUACUUAGCUAGCCAGAAAAACUUCUUUUUUCCACAUCCAAAAUAAUAUUUGCAGGCUUGUUUUCGUAAGUUAUUGGUGAAUAUAAUUGCUUUGGGGGCAAUAUUCAGGCUAUAAAUUUGGAGAAACUAUGUUCUGUAAAAGACAUGCAAAACGGUAUCUAUUACUAAAAAAAAAAAAAUUUUGAUAUUUAAUCUAUUUGAAACAUUUAAUCACAUGGAAAAGGAGAAAUAUAGAGAAAUAAGCAACAACAACAACACAAACUGCAUUGUAAAUAGGCUUUAUUUGUAUUAUUAGAUCAUAGUACACCAUAAACAACAACAGAUAAAUAAAAUAAAAAUAGCAAAAUUAUAUCAUGAUUUUGCACAAGUAAAGGCCGCUAUAUAAAAUUUGGUUUUUACGCAGCAAUAGCUAAUUAAAAACAACACAACCUACCACAACAAGUGAAUGACCACUGAUUUAGCACAACAUUCAGUCAAAAAUAUGUAGCCCUUAUUGGCUAAGACUCUAAAACGUUGAAUCAAACUUGAAAAUACCUAGCUGUUAUGCGAUAAACACUAACUACUUAAAAUUUUUAACAAAACAAAUCAUUUAAAAACAGAUAUCGUUAACUACAUUUACACAUUUUGUGUCAAUCAGGAUAGCGCUGUAUAUGUAUAUAUGCUAAGUCAUUUCGUUAUGUUGGUAGAACCACAAACAUUUUCCAUGCCUGUCAGCAUAACUUCUUUAGUGAAAUGUGAAAAACUUUCGUCAUUUCACCCAUUAAUUAAAACCAUGCUUUUUUCCUAAUUUUUAUAAUUAACAUCGUUCCCAGGAAUUAUCUCGAUAUAAGAUUAGAGCUUUUAAACCAAUCAUCAUCAAGUCUUGUCGGAGUCAUUCUCACAAAACUAGUCACGACUAGUGUUCUCGUCUGUGGCCUUGUGGCAUUUUAAGAAAUCGUUUAAAAAGUGUUUAUUGCCAGGAGCUUUGAAUCUACAAAGCAAACAUACAAGUUGUUAUAUGCAGCUAUUCGAUUUAUUGUAUUGUUAUCAAAUGUCUUGUUAUUUGUGGGUACCCCAAGACAACACAAGAACUUUGAGUUUGAGACAGGCCUUUUUAGAGUUGUUGAAAGUGAAAAUAUAAACAGUUUCAUGCUCAAACUUGCUAGCACAGCAAUAGAAAGCUCAAAAAUCAAUGGAAUUAAAAGUAAACAGAUGUACCUGAAAACUUUUUCAUUAUAAAGUUAAUGCUAUAAUUUUGUUAACUCAAAAAAGUCUGUUUAUUUUGCCAAACUGCUUUCUUCUGCAAUCCCAGGCAACACAGAGCAUAAAUGUUUUCCAGUCAUGUUUCUUCUUAGCAACAUUGCUCAAUUUCAUUCCGCAAUCAUAUAUUCAAGCCUUCCAUUUACUUGCUGGAAGUCAAUACAAAACUUUCUUAGCCUUUAGACAUGUUGAAUCCUACCCUAUCCAACUGACCGGCUACCAUGAGGCAAUAACAAUAGGUAGAGUAAAUUAAUUUCAAUCUUUCUUUACUGUAAAUUUCGACGACUUCGGCGGGAUUCUUCUUGACGUCACAUAUUCUUUGUUUUACAAGAGUCCAAAAGUCCACACUUCGGCGCGAUUCUUCUUGUCGUCAAAAUUAUUUGUUUGUUUAAGAGGGUCAAAAGGCCACACUUCGGCUGCCGCCGAAGUCGACUAUUUUACAGCAGAAAACAAGGAAUCGCGCAACAAUCGGCAAAAAGCGGCAAAAUGUAGUUAAACUACCGUGAAACCAGAGAGUUGAGCCUCGUGAAACACUCCUGAGUAGUUUAGAUAAAUUUUAACUCGACUCCUGGGCGCAAGGAACCUUUUUAAAUGCCAAAAAAAAAAAAAAAAAAAAAAAAAAAAAAAAAUGCGUUGCUUUCAACCGAUUUCUAGUUUAGAUCCACAUGAUCUUCUCAUUGGCAAUUUCUACUUGGGCGAUCCUACCUCACUUUAAGUUGGAUUUUUUUAAUUUUUUUUUUGCAAUAUGUGUCCAGUCUUUAGGAUCAAUUUUAUAAACAUUUCACAUAGCUGUAUUUUGAAUGCUACUCAAAAUUGUUCGAUCAGGCUAUAUCUUUUGUGCAAUUUGGAAAUCUGGAAAUGCUUUUAUUGUCAGUGCCCUUAAUUUAGAAUGGUUGGGCAUAUAAAUACGGUUAUGCUUCCGAUUGUAUUCCCUUUAUAUUAGGCAUUUAAAUAAGUGUCAUUGUAGAGUGAUUAAGUACAGUACAGUCUGAAUGUAAUCUACCGCGUACACGCUAAUAUCACACCUUUGCGUGGAGGACGGCAGUCGUUUGUCUUUUGUUAUAAUUAAAUCCCUUAAGAGUUUUGCGAGUUUAUAUUUGCGUGUUAAAAAACAAUGCGCUCGUGAAGAAAUAUUGGAGCAAAUAAUAAAAAUCUUUCGCGAAGUUUUAUAAGACAUUGCGCGCGAAUGUAUUGUUGAUUUAAUUACUUAAAAAAAAAAAAUUCCAGCGCGUUUCAUCUAAGAAACAUUCGAGAAGCAUUGUUCACAACUAUUAAAUGCCGCUUUUCGAUUAAAAAAUUCUAUCGCCUCUUUUCGAUUUUAAACUUUAAAUACGAUCUAAAAAAGCAUUUCUAUCGCCGCUAUUCGUUAAAACUUUUAAAAUUUCCAGGGAGAAAUUUGAAAACUAAUGAAUGACAAAAUCCCAAAAGUUUAUCUUCAAAUUUUUAAUUUUGUUAAUGUAAAAGUAAUCCACAUAAAAAAAGUUUCUGAUGUUUUUUAUGAAGAAAUCUUCCAUAUUAGCCAUUAUACAUUUGCCCUAGAGUGAUUAAUAAAUAAGGUCAGGCUUCUAUUUUCAGAACUGCUAUUUACAUUUAACAUCAAGGCAUCCAAAACAGCUCCAUUUAGAAAAGGGCUAAGGCUGGCCUAUUGUUCGUUUUAUCAAAUGGGGAUUUUAUUACCCGAAUUGUAAAAGGCUAAUUUAUAGGCACUUGCAUGUAGUUUUUUUUUUUCAUGUCUAUUUGUUAAGCCUGUUAUGGCAUGUUGAAUUAUCUCGUCGUAGUUCUCGUCAAAAAUAUUGCCUGAUAGAUAAUGCAUUUUCAUUUGGGGAAUUGGGGGUGCUGGGCUGCCCUGGGCAGCCACAAAGUGUAGAGAUGUGCGUGUACCCCUGGAAGAGUAUGGUGAAUUAAGUACAGGUGCAAGGAGAUGAACGACAGUGCACCACGCGAGCAGGACAGAUGACUGGGGAAAUAACAGCAGAGGGAUGCGGCGCUGACAGUCAGAGGUGGUGCACCAAGAGGUUAAUAACAGGUGUGAAAUGCAAAAGAAGCUAGAGCUCAUAAAGAGUAGGUUCUUGUGAGGUAUGAUAGAGGAAAUGGAAUCACAGGAGAGGAGCUCCGGAUGUGAUUGAGAGAUUAGUUAAGCCAGAAAACACUACUAGGAGAAGAGCUCCGGAUGUAGUGGAGAAGAGCGAACACUACUAGGAGAAUAGCUCCGGAUGUAGUGGAGAAGAGCGAAUUCAUUGGGAACACGCACGUGAGCUUGAGACAAUAUCUUCUCUUCAGCCUAGCAUCCUCACCCGAUUCCGCCAAAUUAUCCUCAGUUUAUUCUUGCCACUAACAAUUAAUAGUGCUAUUACUGCUAUAACUCUAAAUUAAAGUACAAUCCUUAUUCAUUGAUUUUGUAUUAUUGACAGCAAUUGUAGUUAUUAUUUGUCAAUUUAAAGUUGCGUAUUAUCAGAUUUUGAAAGUUAGCUAUAACAUGAUGGAUUGCAAAAUUGUCUCCUUUAAAAAAUCCAGUUUGGGGUAAAUUGGGGAUGUCGGGCUUCCUUCGUCAGCCAAAUGGGAUGAAGAUGCGUUUGUUUCCCUAACAAAUGAGGUGCGUUUCCACGAGAUACGCCAUAGCAGGUAGUAGGCAAUUUCCAAGCGAGUUGCUGAGGUGUAGGCGAUUUCCAAGUGAGUCGCGGAGAUGUAGGCAAUUUCCAAGCGAGUUGCUGAGGUGUAGGCGAUUUCCAAGUGAGUCGCGGAGAGGUAGGCAAUUUCCAAGCGAGUUGCUGAGGUGUAGGCGAUUUCCAAGUGAGUCGCUCAGAUGUAGGCAAUUUCCAAGCGAGUUGCUGAGGUGUAGGCGAUUUCCAAGUGAGUCGCGGAGAGGUAGGCAAUUUCCAAGCGAGUUGCUGAGGUGUAGGCGAUUUCCAAGUGAGUCGCUCAGAUAUAGGCAAUUUCCAAGCGAGUUGCUGAGUUAGCGUUUCCACGAGAUACGCAGACGUUUCCACGAGAUACGUCUUACUAAGGGUAAGGAUGGAAACACACGCAUCUGGUUUGGGCCCCCCUGAUACCAAACCUGACAUCCCCCCCCCCUUUCCCCAAACUCAAGUGUAGUUAUGACAUGAAACAAGAGAAAUAUACUUCUAACAUUAUCUGUCAUUGUUGUUGUUUGCUUUCGUGUUGUUGCUUCAGAACCAUAGCAAUUAAAUGGUGGUGGACCAACAGUUCACCACAUGUUAAUUGCGGUUCCUGAAGUAAGUACUUAUACCUUGUUGAGAGGCUUGGCUUUUAUUGCAUUCAGUAUGCAAGUGUCAACAAAGAUGGCUACUAGCGUCAUUGAAGGAUAUACUUUAGAAACUCAAUGUUAUUUUAAAUCUAGAAUGGUAGACUAGUGAAAAGGGUGGUCACAAGGCAUGAACACUAGGGGCCCUCAAGGUAACUAACCAAUACUGUUGUAGAUCCAGGCCCCUAAGAUUGCCUUGCCUACCUAUAAAUUGGGAGCAGCUAAAGUCAACUAGUUUCCAUCAUCACAUUUUGCUAAUAGUUUGGUUUGCCCACCCACCCACCCUGUUAUUAUAUAUUUUUUCUUUUUCUUUUAUGUACAUCAAUCACUUCAUGUAUUGGCAUCAAUGUCCACAACUGUCACCAUAUUAACUAAUUCUACAAUCAACCACAACCCUUAUGUUAACUCGAUAACCGGACCAUCAUCCGACACAUGACGAGUGCAUACGAUACCAAUUGAUGUAGCCCCAGAGGGUCUUCUACAACGAACUAUAACACGCAACGAUACUACGAACUACAACACGCAACGAUCUACAACGCAAGAUGGAGGGAUCAAUUGGCAUCAAAGACGCGCGCUCGCUUACACCAGUGCUCUUGCCUCAAGGUUUUCUUGGUGAUCCAAAUUUGGCUACUUGCGAUUGCCAAGUUUUUUGUCCAGAGGUAGAAGCACUGUUGACCCGCGCUGGUGGGGAUGUCGGGCUUCCUUCGUCAGCCAAAUGGGAUGAAGAUGCGUUUGUUUCCCUAACAAAUGAGGUGCGUUUCCACGAGAUACGCCAUAGCAGGUAGUAGGCAAUUUCCAAGCGAGUUGCUGAGGUGUAGGCGAUUUCCAAGUGAGUCGCGGAGAUGUAGGCAAUUUCCAAGCGAGUUGCUGAGGUGUAGGCGAUUUCCAAGUGAGUCGCGGAGAGGUAGGCAAUUUCCAAGCGAGUUGCUGAGGUGUAGGCGAUUUCCAAGUGAGUCGCUCAGAUGUAGGCAAUUUCCAAGCGAGUUGCUGAGGUGUAGGCGAUUUCCAAGUGAGUCGCUCAGAUAUAGGCAAUUUCCAAGCGAGUUGCUGAGUUAGCGUUUCCACGAGAUACGCAGACGUUUCCACGAGAUACGUCUUACUAAGGGUAAGGAUGGAAACACACGCAUCUGGUUUGGGCCCCCCUGAUACCAAACCUGACAUCCCCCCCCCUUUCCCCAAACUCAAGUGUAGUUAUGACAUGAAACAAGAGAAAUAUACUUCUAACAUUA